Molecule: ribosomal RNA, 490 nt
Filed under: uncultured bacterium
Lineage: Bacteria
Description: partial 16S ribosomal RNA
Rfam family: Bacterial small subunit ribosomal RNA
Source: RNAcentral
AUUGAACGCUGGCGGCAGGCCUAACACAUGCAAGUCGAACGGUAACAGAAAGCAGCUUGCUGCUUUGCUGACGAGUGGCGGACGGGUGAGUAAUGUCUGGGAAACUGCCUGAUGGAGGGGGAUAACUACUGGAAACGGUAGCUAAUACCGCAUAACGUCGCAAGACCAAAGAGGGGGACCUUCGGGCCUCUUGCCAUCGGAUGUGCCCAGAUGGGAUUAGCUAGUAGGUGGGGUAACGGCUCACCUAGGCGACGAUCCCUAGCUGGUCUGAGAGGAUGACCAGCCACACUGGAACUGAGACACGGUCCAGACUCCUACGGGAGGCAGCAGUGGGGAAUAUUGCACAAUGGGCGCAAGCCUGAUGCAGCCAUGCCGCGUGUAUGAAGAAGGCCUUCGGGUUGUAAAGUACUUUCAGCGGGGAGGAAGGGAGUAAAGUUAAUACCUUUGCUCAUUGGCGUUACCCGCAGAAGAAGCACCGGCUAACUCCGUG